Transfer RNA from Purpureocillium lilacinum, 72 nucleotides. It matches the Rfam family "tRNA". From Rfam's summary of the family: Transfer RNA (tRNA) molecules are approximately 80 nucleotides in length. The record is from Rfam. NCBI's taxonomy places the organism in Eukaryota, Fungi, Ascomycota, Sordariomycetes, Hypocreales, Ophiocordycipitaceae.
GCCUCCUUGGCUCAGUGGUAGAGCGUGUCACUAGUAAUGACAAGGUCAUAGGUUCGACUCCUGUAGGAGGCA